AGAGUUUGAUCCUGGCUCAGGAUGAACGCUAGCGGCAGGCUUAAUACAUGCAAGUCGAGGGGCAGCAUGAGUGUAGCAAUACAUUUGAUGGCGACCGGCAAACGGGUGCGGAACACGUACAGAACCUUCCUUCGAGCGGGGAAUAGCCCAGAGAAAUUUGGAUUAAUACCCCAUAGUAUAACGGAGUGGCAUCACUUUGUUAUUAAAGAUUUAUCACUUGAAGAUGGCUGUGCGGCUGAUUAGGUAGUUGGCGGGGUAACGGCCCGCCAAGCCUGCGAUCAGUAACUGGUGUGAGAGCACGACCAGUCACACGGGCACUGAGACACGGGCCCGACUCCUACGGGAGGCAGCAGUAAGGAAUAUUGGUCAAUGGACGAAAGUCUGAACCAGCCAUGCCGCGUGGAGGAUGAAGGUCCUCUGGAUUGUAAACUUCUUUUAUAUGGGACGAAAAAGGGUCUUUCUAGAUCAACUGACGGUACCAUAUGAAUAAGCACCGGCUAACUCCGUGCCAGCAGCCGCGGUAAUACGGAGGGUGCAAGCGUUAUCCGGAUUCACUGGGUUUAAAGGGAGCGUAGGUGGGUUGGUAAGUCAGUGGUGAAAUCUCCGAGCUUAACUUGGAAACUGCCAUUGAUACUAUCAGUCUUGAAUAUUGUGGAGGUCAGCGGAAUAUGUCAUGUAGCGGUGAAAUGCUUAGAUAUGACAUAGAACACCAAUUGCGAAGGCAGCUGGCUACGCAUAUAUUGACACUGAGGCUCGAAAGCGUGGGGAUCAAACAGGAUUAGAUACCCUGGUAGUCCACG
RNAcentral lists this ribosomal RNA (800 nucleotides) under uncultured bacterium. Its description in RNAcentral is "bacterial SSU rRNA". It matches the Rfam family "Bacterial small subunit ribosomal RNA", at positions 8 to 799 of the family's 1533-position model. The record is from RNAcentral.